Molecule: transfer RNA, 73 nt
Filed under: Candidatus Nomurabacteria bacterium
Lineage: Bacteria; Candidatus Nomuraibacteriota
Description: tRNA-Lys
Rfam family: tRNA
About the family: Transfer RNA (tRNA) molecules are approximately 80 nucleotides in length.
Source: RNAcentral
CCCUCUGUAACUCAGCUGGUAGAGUAGCUCCCUUUUAAGGAGACGGUCGUAGGUUCGAGCCCUACCGGAGGGA